GUUGGUCUUACCCUAARACGGUGCGCUAACCGCAAGGAGGCAGCCGGCCACGGUARGGUCAGCGACUGGGGUGAAGUCGUAACAAGGUUUCCGUAGGUGAACCUGCAGAAGGAUCA
Molecule: ribosomal RNA, 116 nt
Filed under: uncultured eukaryote
Lineage: Eukaryota
Description: partial small subunit ribosomal RNA
Source: RNAcentral